CUAGACAACUAUACAACCUGCUUAACAGAGACAGACAAGAAAUUUAACUUAUUCUCAUUAAUUAGAAUUUUAUUGGUUGCUUUCAUGGAGUGUUUUUCAAGGGGAAGGAAAACAUGGUGUGCAACUACUUUUAGUGAAUCUUUAUUUAAAAAAAAAAAAAAACUUUGCAAACUCAUUAAUUCCAAGGAGUAAAACAAGACUAAAGCAUCCUCAUCUUUCUUUGUGAUACCAUCUAUAUUCUCUUUGUGUUGUUCCAUUCCUGGAAGGAUAGGAGAGAAAAAAAAUGCCCUUUGUUUCAGUGGAACCCCAGGAAAAGGGAAGCCACAUUUCUGAUGUUAUCUAUUACACUGCAAAAUGUUAUGUAUUUCCCUCAAGGUUCUGUGCCUGCUUUGUCGAGUAUUGUAUAUUUUGUAUCCACACUUCUCCAAGGAAUCAUCAGAGGUUCACAGCUUGGAAAGCAAAUUCUUAGGCUGAGGGAAGAAAUACUAGGUAUCUCUUUGUUGUCCUUGAAAAAUGUCCAAUUCCAGGUAUGUUUUCUUGUGUUGAAACUUUGCAGAAUGAACACUUGUACAAUAAGCACACCUGUUAUCUGCAAUACUUACUAGGGAAUAUAAGAUUAUUUAAAAAAAAAAAAAAAGCACAUAAAGGACCUCCAAAUGCAGGUGCUUCUGCUGUUUAGUCUCAUGUGAAAGCACAUAUAAUAUCAGCAUGAAAAAUAAGACUAACUGUAAUGAAACUGAAUUAUACUGUAUGCUUACUAUAUAGAGGAAUAUUAAGGUCCACUUUCGGUAGGCCUUGGUGCAUCUUAACUUGUUAAGGGAUUUUCAGGUGAAUGAAUUGAAGAUGAUACUUCCCCUGCAGUUGAACAACAAACCGGCUUGAGUAAGGCAAAACCACACUCAGUGCUUGUCUUAAACACAAAAAAAUGCAGCUGGUCAGGGAAAGGUGUAAAGUGCUGAGGGAAGUGAGUGUACUUCAGCUACCAUGAUGGUAUUAGUUGAGUGCUGAACCAUUUAGGUAAGUUUAUACUUGACUGUGUCUAUUCCUUCUGCGUUAGCACACUACUGACCCCUUCUCUAUUAGUAAACAUGAAAUGUGGGAGGAAAAAAAGGGGUGGUGUUAACAGCAGAGUCAUGAUGUAUGUAAUGAUUAUAUAAAAAAGCACUUCAUCUGCUAAUAGCUCAUAGAUGCACCAUGAAAAGGGAGUGGACCCAUAAGCUCGAAAGACGGUGGGCACAGGGGUCACUGCUGCUGCCUGGCGUGGUUCCUCAGCUCUGCCUGGUGCCACACUGAGCCACUUUCAGCUCUUUGCAGACACCUGGCGCUGAGCAUGCUUGCUGUCUCCUAACCUCUUUCCAGCACUUCGCGCGGGUCAGACCUGUCCGUCACAGGAGGUGGAAGCGGGGUGAUGGUGACCACCUGUCUGUGUUGGGGUUGCCCUUCAGCUCCUUCUGCUGGGAGACGUGUUGGCUGCGUUCUGCUUUUAUGCGGCUUCAGGCUCUUGCUGUAACAUUUCAUUGCCACCCUUGGCUUGAAAGCAGUACAGGAGAGAAUUGAAAUGCCUGCAGUUCUCUGGGGUUUGUUUGGAGAAGCCCUCUCCCGGUGUCCAUUCCCCUCCGCCUUCCCGCGCCGCAGCCCCGGGAAUCACCUCAGCGCCGGGGGGCUCCUUCCCGCCCGCUGCCCCCGCGGCGUUUAUCCCCGGCUGGUCUUUCCUCCCGGCGCUUCGGGCACGUCCCGGCUCCGCCGUGCUGCUGGGUCGCACCGGUCCCGGCGGGCUCCUCCCCGGUGGCCUCGGCGAG
Gallus gallus (chicken) is the source of this 1799-nucleotide long non-coding RNA. The record is from Ensembl. NCBI's taxonomy places the organism in Eukaryota, Metazoa, Chordata, Aves, Galliformes, Phasianidae.